GGCAUCUCUGUAGAAUCCUAUUUUGACUGCUGCUCCGCAGUCACCACCUCAACCAGAGCUGCAGGCACCUCCUUGAAGUCUAAAGAGGAGGUUGACUUAUCAAAGUCAUCUUAGGGCCCAGUAGCCGGUUAGGCGGCGAUCUCCAAAGCCACAGUCGGGCCAUGAUUCAACCUCCGGACGUCGAUCUCCUUUACGCUUAAAGGCUGUUACUGUCCAUGAAGUUGAUUUUGAAAGAUGGUUUCAGAAGCUCGACCAGCAGUUAGAUCAGAAAAUAGAAAAGGCCCUCAAUAAUAAUAGCUCUUUGGCGCUGCCCUA
Molecule: long non-coding RNA, 315 nt
Filed under: Elaeis guineensis (African oil palm)
Lineage: Eukaryota; Viridiplantae; Streptophyta; Magnoliopsida; Arecales; Arecaceae
Description: long non-coding RNA (EGUI_LNC035212)
Source: RNAcentral